This 77-nucleotide transfer RNA is filed under the name Candidatus Nomurabacteria bacterium. RNAcentral's name for it is "tRNA-Pro". It matches the Rfam family "tRNA". From Rfam's summary of the family: Transfer RNA (tRNA) molecules are approximately 80 nucleotides in length. Their secondary structure includes four short double-helical elements and three loops (D, anti-codon, and T loops). Lineage: Bacteria; Candidatus Nomuraibacteriota. The record is from RNAcentral.
CGGGGUGUGGCGCAGCCUGGUAGCGCGCCGCGUUUGGGACGCGGAGGCCGCUGGUUCGAAUCCAGUCACCCCGACCA